UCUUUCAACACUGUGAGAAGUGAUGAAAAAAACAAUGCAGUGAUUUUUAUAUUCUUGUGUCAUUAACUCUUCAAUAAUUUUCCCUUUUUUUUUUUUUUUUUUAAUUUUCAUCUGCAUUGUUAUAGGUGUUCAGCAAGAGAGAGAAACUUUUGGAUUAAUUUUACAAAACAUGAGCAUUUGAGUGGUCACAAGGAUUAAGCUGCGCUGUGGGCAGAGAUUGUUGCUGCCUUGCUAAAGGUUUCAUCAUCUUUUGCUUAUUUCUCAACUGAAAGAAUAAGCUGUGAAAUCAAUUGGUUCCAGCAGGAAUGAUUAUGCACCUCAGGCUGAUUUCAGGAGACUCUCUGGAAGAAGUAGAAAAUACCUGGAUAUGUACAUCUGUGUUGGCUUCUCAAAUCACUGUUCAGCUCCUUCCCAAAUGAGCUCUGAAGAUGGAAAUCUAAACUCCUAAUGAAGAAUGUAUUCCUUUGGUGCGUAAUAGGAGUGAAUAAAUGCAAACUGAAGUCAAUGAAUGAUUGUCCUACUACCUAGGGUAAGCUGAAACCAAAAUUACCUGUUUCAUCUUUAUAUAUUCAAUCUUGUUCCUAUGGGAUACUGCUGAAAACUAAUACAAGG
RNAcentral lists this long non-coding RNA (612 nucleotides) under Taeniopygia guttata (zebra finch). RNAcentral describes it as "lncRNA (ENSTGUG00000028156.1)". Lineage: Eukaryota; Metazoa; Chordata; Aves; Passeriformes; Estrildidae. The record is from RNAcentral.